Molecule: ribosomal RNA, 497 nt
Filed under: uncultured bacterium
Lineage: Bacteria
Description: partial 16S ribosomal RNA
Rfam family: Bacterial small subunit ribosomal RNA
Source: RNAcentral
GAUGAACGCUGGCGGCGUGCCUAAUACAUGCAAGUCGAGCGAACAGACGAGGAGCUUGCUCCUCUGACGUUAGCGGCGGACGGGUGAGUAACACGUGGAUAACCUACCUAUAAGACUGGGAUGACUUCGGGAAACCGGAGCUAAUACCGGAUAAUAUAUUGAACCGCAUGGUUCAAUAGUGAAAGACGGUUUUGCUGUCACUUAUAGAUGGAUCCGCGCCGCAUUAGCUAGUUGGUAAGGUAACGGCUUACCAAGGCAACGAUGCGUAGCCGACCUGAGAGGGUGAUCGGCCACACUGGAACUGAGACACGGUCCAGACCCCUACGGGAGGCAGCAGUAGGGAAUCUUCCGCAAUGGGCGAAAGCCUGACGGAGCAACGCCGCGUGAGUGAUGAAGGUCUUCGGAUCGUAAAACUCUGUUAUUAGGGAAGAACAAAUGUGUAAGUAACUAUGCACGUCUUGACGGUACCUAAUCAGAAAGCCACGGCUAACUACGUG